This 140-nucleotide unclassified non-coding RNA is filed under the name uncultured fungus. Its description in RNAcentral is "sequence contains ITS1". The record is from RNAcentral. Lineage: Eukaryota; Fungi.
AUCUUUUUAAUUACUUAUUUAUUUCAAGUAAAUAAAUAUGUAAAAUUUUUUUUUCAAAAAAAGGGUGGGUUUUAAAUACACGCGCGAAAAAGAUCGCGCGGAGAUUGAUAAUGAUCCUUCCGCAGGUUCACCUACGGAAA